AAUCAACGCUGGCGGCGUGCCUAACACAUGCAAGUCGAACGCGAAGACCCCGCAAGGGGUUGGUAGCGUGGCAAACGGGUGAGUAACGCGUGGGCGACCUACCUCAGAGUGGGGGAUAACCUUCCGAAAGGGAGGCUAAUACCGCAUGACAUGCCCUGUUUAGAUACAGGGACAUCAAAGCCGGGGAUCGUAAGACCUGGCGCUUGGAGAGGGGCCCGCGUCCGAUUAGCUAGUUGGUGGGGAACGCUCACCAAGGCUCCGAUCGGUAUCCGGCCUGAGAGGGCGGACGGACACACUGGAACUGAGACACGGUCCAGACUCCUACGGGAGGCAGCAGUGGGAAUUGUUCGCAAUGGGCGCAAGCCUGACGACGCAACGCCGCGUGGAGGAUGAAGACUUU
Molecule: ribosomal RNA, 400 nt
Filed under: uncultured bacterium
Lineage: Bacteria
Description: bacterial SSU rRNA
Rfam family: Bacterial small subunit ribosomal RNA
Source: RNAcentral